GAUGAACGCUGGCGGCGUGCUUAAUACAUGCAAGUCGAGCGAACGGACGAGGCGCUCGCUUUACUGAUGUUAGCGGCGGACGGGUGAGUAACACGUGGACAACCCACCUAUAAGACUGGGAUCACUUAGGGAAACUGGAGUUCAUACCGGAUAAUAUUUUGAACCGCAUGGUUCAAAAGUGAAAGCCGGUCUUGAUGUCCCUUAUAGAUGGAUCCGCGCUGCAUUAGCAAGUUGGUAAGGUAACGGCUUACCAUGGCAACGAUGCAUAGCCGACCUGGGAGGGGGUACGGCCACUCUGGAGCUGGAACACGGUCCUGAGUCCGACGGGAGGCAGCGGUAGGUAAUCUACCGCGAUGUGCGGAAGCCUGACGGAGCGGCGCCGCGUUGGUGAAGAGAGUCUGCGGAUCGUAUGACGCUGUUAUUAUGGAAGAACAUAUGUGUAAGUGACUGUGCACAUCGUGACGGUACCUAAACAGAAAGCCACGGCUAACUACGUG
This 497-nucleotide ribosomal RNA is filed under the name uncultured bacterium. RNAcentral's name for it is "partial 16S ribosomal RNA". It matches the Rfam family "Bacterial small subunit ribosomal RNA", at positions 28 to 507 of the family's 1533-position model. The record is from RNAcentral.